This 449-nucleotide ribosomal RNA is filed under the name Eucypris virens. RNAcentral describes it as "partial 16S ribosomal RNA". The record is from RNAcentral. Lineage: Eukaryota; Metazoa; Arthropoda; Ostracoda; Podocopida; Cyprididae.
UAUAUUUUAAAGGUAAUACCUGCUCAAUGAAUAUUAAAUUGCCGCAGUAUUAUGACUGUGCUAAGGUAGCAUAAUAAUUUGUCUUUUAAAUGGGGACUGGAAUGAAAGGUUUUAUGGGGGUAUGUUAAUGAUUUAAUGAAUUAUUGAAGUUAAGGUUUAAGUUAAAAUUCUUAAAAUUAUUUGAGGGACGAGAAGACCCUGUGGAUCUUUAUUUUACGUAUAAUAAAUUAUUAUAAAUGUUUUAUUAUUUUAAAAAUUUGAUUGGGACGAUUAUUAUUUUAACAUGAUUUUGAGGGUUUAUGUUGAUCCUAUAAAAGGAAUUAAGAUUAAGUUACCCCAGGGAUAACAGCGUUAUAUUAUUGGAUAGUUCAUAUUGAUAAUAAUGUUUGCGACCUCGAUGUUGAAUUAAAAUUUCUUUUUAAAGUAGAAGUUAAAUUAAUAAGUCUGUU